Molecule: long non-coding RNA, 372 nt
Organism: Glycine soja
Lineage: Eukaryota; Viridiplantae; Streptophyta; Magnoliopsida; Fabales; Fabaceae
Exons: 2
Source: RefSeq, a predicted model, not a curated record
AGCAGAAAAUAGAAUAGAGGGGGAAGUGCGGAAACCCUAGUGGUAGUGGAGUUGGGUGAGUAUGGGAAUAGCAGGUAGGGUUGGGGAUUAUGCUUUCAAGGCAUUCAUCGCCACCCUCGAAAUUCGACAAACAGGAUACUGAUGAGCAAGCACCAUGACUUGAUCUCGUAAGCCCACCAUCUUAAACAAAUCAUGUUGUGUAGAAAUAUAAUGUGAGUUUCUUUCCUACAAUUUUUCACUUGAUUGGCCAAUAAUUGAAUGGCAAAUCAUGAGUAAUAACUUACUUAAUUAACAUAAGUAGAUAGUGGUUUUUGAUACAUUGUACUUAUACAUUAUUAUUUGUUUACGUGUUAUAAUUUGUACUUCAUGGAA